Molecule: ribosomal RNA, 435 nt
Filed under: uncultured bacterium
Lineage: Bacteria
Description: partial 16S ribosomal RNA
Rfam family: Bacterial small subunit ribosomal RNA
Source: RNAcentral
AGCGAGCGCUGGCGGCAGGCUUAACACAUGCAAGUCGAGCGGGCAUCUUCGGAUGUCAGCGGCAGACGGGUGAGUAACACGUGGGAACGUACCCUUCGGUUCGGAACAACUCUGGGAAACUGGAGCUAAUACCGGAUACGCCCUUAUGGGGAAAGGUUUACUGCCGAAGGAUCGGCCCGCGUCUGAUUAGCUAGUUGGUGGGGUAACGGCCUACCAAGGCGACGAUCAGUAGCUGGUCUGAGAGGAUGAUCAGCCACACUGGGACUGAGACACGGCCCAGACUCCUACGGGAGGCAGCAGUGGGGAAUAUUGGACAAUGGGCGCAAGCCUGAUCCAGCCAUGCCGCGUGAGUGAUGAAGGCCUUAGGGUUGUAAAGCUCUUUUGUCCGGGACGAUAAUGACGGUACCGGAAGAAUAAGCCCCGGCUAACUUCGUG